RNAcentral lists this ribosomal RNA (467 nucleotides) under uncultured bacterium. RNAcentral describes it as "partial 16S ribosomal RNA". It matches the Rfam family "Bacterial small subunit ribosomal RNA", at positions 28 to 507 of the family's 1533-position model. The record is from RNAcentral.
GACGAACGCUGGCGGCGUGCUUAACACAUGCAAGUCGAACGGUGAAGCUCAGCUUGCUGGAGUGGAUCAGUGGCGAACGGGUGAGUAACACGUGAGCAACCUGCCCCUGACUCUGGAAUAAGCGCUGGAAACGGCGUCUAAUACUGGAUACGAGAAGGGUCCGCAUGGGCACUUUCUGGAAAGUUUUUCGGUUGGGGAUGGGCUCGCGGCCUAUCAGCUUGUUGGUGAGGUAAUGGCUCACCAAGGCGACGACGGGUAGCCGGCCUGAGAGGGCGACCGGCCACACUGGGACUGAGACACGGCCCAGACUCCUACGGGAGGCAGCAGUGGGGAAUAUUGCACAAUGGGCGAAAGCCUGAUGCAGCGACGCCGCGUGAGGGAUGACGGCCUUCGGGUUGUAAACCUCUUUCAGCAGGGAAGAAGCGAAAGUGACGGUACCUGCAGAAGAAGCACCGGCUAACUACGUG